UUGGAGGGCAAGUCUGGUGCCAGCAGCCGCGGUAAUUCCAGCUCCAAUAGCGUAUAUUAAAGUUGUUGCAGUUAAAAAGCUCGUAGUUGAAUUUCGGGAUCAGAUUGUCGGUCGUGUCUCGGUACGCACUGGCAUUAUUGGUUCCUACCUUCUGAAGAACCGCGAUGUCAUUAAUUUGGUGUCGUGGGGAAUCAGGACUGUUACUUUGAAAAAAUUAGAGUGUUUAAAGCAGGCGCACGCUUGAAUACAUUAGCAUGGAAUAAUGAAAUAGGACGUUUGAUUCUAUUUUGUUGGUUUCUAGGAUCGACGUAAUGAUUAAUAGGGAUAGUUGGGGGCAUUAGUAUUCAAUUGUCAGAGGUGAAAUUCUUGGAUUUAUUGAAGACUAACUACUGCGAAAGCAUUUGCCAAGGAUGUUUUCAUUAAUCAAGAACGAAAGUUAGGGGAUCGAAGACGAUCAGAUACCGUCGUAGUCUUAACCAUAAACUAUGCCGACUAGGGAUCGGAUGAUGUUAAUUUUUUAAUGACUCAUUCGGCGCCUUACGGGAAAC
This 548-nucleotide ribosomal RNA is filed under the name uncultured Glomeromycotina. RNAcentral describes it as "SSU rRNA". It matches the Rfam family "Eukaryotic small subunit ribosomal RNA", at positions 548 to 1098 of the family's 1831-position model. The record is from RNAcentral. Lineage: Eukaryota; Fungi; Glomeromycota.